This 84-nucleotide transfer RNA is filed under the name Microthrixaceae bacterium. RNAcentral describes it as "tRNA-Leu". It matches the Rfam family "tRNA". Rfam says of the family: Transfer RNA (tRNA) molecules are approximately 80 nucleotides in length. Their secondary structure includes four short double-helical elements and three loops (D, anti-codon, and T loops). Lineage: Bacteria; Bacillati; Actinomycetota; Acidimicrobiia; Acidimicrobiales; Microthrixaceae. The record is from RNAcentral.
GCGGACGUGGCGGAAUUGGUAGACGCGCCAGGUUUAGGACCUGGUACCCGAAAAGGUGUGUGGGUUCGAUUCCCACCGUCCGCA